Molecule: long non-coding RNA, 977 nt
Filed under: Olea europaea subsp. europaea
Lineage: Eukaryota; Viridiplantae; Streptophyta; Magnoliopsida; Lamiales; Oleaceae
Source: RNAcentral
CGACUAUGAGGGGGCAAGUUUCUAAAGACGAGAAGCAAAAAAAUUAUAACUUAUUACACUGUGAAAUUUAUUCUUAUUUAAAACUAACCCAAGUUGGGGCCAUAAUCUUUUAUGAACAUAUAGAGGUUAUUCCUACAUAAAUAUCACUAUAGAGGAGUCUCACUAUAUAUAUAUAUAAUGCAUGUGCAAGAAAAGGUACUAGCCCAGUAUGGAAUGAGAAGUUCGAGUUCAGGGUUGACUCUCCAUUGACAGAUGACAAUCAAUACGAACUCGUGCUCAAGAUAAUGGAUCACGACACCUUCAGUGCAGAUGAUUAUCUUGGGCAAGCAACGUAAGACAUUAUGGAAUUUAUCAAAUGCACAUAUUCUUUAAUAUACAUUCAAUCUUAUUCUUUUCUAGUCCAGUGUAAUUUACCAUAGACUAAAUGCAUUGUAGGAUCUAUGUGAAAGACCUUAUAAAAAUAGGGGUGGAAGAAGGAAAGGCUGAAAUUCAUCCUCAAAAAUAUAGAGUUGUCUCCACCGAUCAAAUUUAUUACGGAGAGAUUCAAGUAGGAAUUACUUUCACUGCAAAGGUACCCUUUUCUAAUGUCCCUCAAACUCUAUGAAUUGAUCAGAUGAAAUUAAUUGCUUUUUCAUUUUCUAAGAAGUAGAAUAUAACAAUCUAUUCCUGGUGUACAAGGUUUGAUCAAUGUUAAUUAUUUGAUUACAGCAAAAAACUGUUGAAGAAGAAGAAGAAGAAUAUGGCGGAUGGAAGGAAAGCGACUACUAGUUUUCCUACCGGCUACAUGGAACUUUCUGCAAGCAAUAAUUUAAUUUUCAGUGAAUAAUUUAGAAGUAUGUAAUAAUCCUUUUCUGUGUCUUUGAAGUAAUUAGACUGCACGAAUAUAUUAUUUUGGCAAAAAUGUAUUUAUUGUAAAAUAGAAUGUGUUGUUAAGAGGUAAAUCUCACAAUGUCUAAAUAUCGAAAUAUAAACAAUAU